Molecule: ribosomal RNA, 497 nt
Filed under: uncultured bacterium
Lineage: Bacteria
Description: partial 16S ribosomal RNA
Rfam family: Bacterial small subunit ribosomal RNA
Source: RNAcentral
GAUGAACGCUGGCGGCGUGCCUAAUACAUGCAAGUCGAGCGAACAGACGAUGAGCUUGCUCCUCUGACGUUAGCGGCGGACGGGUGAGUAACACGUGUAUAACCUACCUAUAUUACUGGGAUAACUUCGGGAAGCCGGAGCUAAUACCGGAUAAUAUAUUGAACCGCAUGGUUCAAUAGUGAAAGACGGUUUUGCUGUCACUUAUAGAUGGAUCCGCGCCGCGUUAGCUAGUUGGUAAGGUAACGGCUUACCAAGGCGACGAUGCGUAGCCGACCUGAGAGGGUGAUAGGCGACACUGGAACUGAGACACGGUCAAGACGCCUACGAGAGGCAGCAGUAGCGAAUGUUACGCAAUGGGCGAAAGCCUGACGGAGCAACGCCGAGUGAGUGAUGAAGGUCUUCGGAUCGUAAAACUCUGUUAUUAGGGAAGAACAAAUGUGUAAGUAACUAUGCACGUCUUGACGGUACCUAAUCAGAAAGCUACGGCUAACUACGUG